Molecule: ribosomal RNA, 468 nt
Filed under: uncultured bacterium
Lineage: Bacteria
Description: partial 16S ribosomal RNA
Rfam family: Bacterial small subunit ribosomal RNA
Source: RNAcentral
GACGAACGCUGGCGGCGUGCUUAACACAUGCAAGUCGAACGGACGGGCCCUACUUUUGUGUGUCUCUUGUUAGGCGCACGGGUGAGUAACACGUGUGUAAACUCCACCUGUCUUUGGGAUAAAAUUAGGAAACUCGGGCUAAAACCGGAUAGAAGAUCCUGCUGCAUGUUGGGGAUUGGAAAGAUUCGGCGGUUCGGGAUGGAAUGGAGGGUUAUCCGCUUGUUGGUGGGGUAGUGGCUUACCAAGGUUGUGACGGAAAGCCCGCAUGAGAGGGUGACCGGGCACAAUGGUACUGAGAGAGGGCGCAGACGGCAACGGGAGGCAGUAGUCGGGAACAUGGCAGAAUGGGGGGGAGCCUGAGGCAGCAACGUCGGGUGCGUGAUGACGGGUUUCGGGUGGUAAACCGCUUUGUACUGUGACGAAGCGUGAGUGACGGUAAUGGGUAAGGAAGCACCGGCUAACUACGUG